GAGAAAUCAGGAUCUGAUCCCAGGAAUUUAGGAAUCAGAAUUUCAGCCAUUCUGUUGUCUGUGAUGUUGUUGGUGGCCUGUGUUACUGCACUCAUUUUUGUCUGGUAUAGAAAGAAAUCUCAGAGCAGUCAGUCACACAGGCAGGUUGAGAUGAAUGUUAUACCUACCUGAAUCUACAAUGAGAAAUAAAGGGGACUCAAACAUCUUCAGGUAAACACCGUGACAAGUGGGUACCUGCUGACACCAAAUGAUGAUCUGGGUCAUCAUGUGGUGGUGAUGAACAGCAACAAAACUACAUAAUGAAAAAUCUUUACUUUUUUUGUUUACUUAUUUUUUCAAGAAGAGUGUGUUACCUAAAACAACGGUGCUAAAAUUUGACAAAUAACUGCAUUAAAGUUGUACUAAAGAAAAUGUCAAAUGUUACAUUUACAUUGACAGUUAAAAUUGUUACAAUUCAAUUUUUUUAUAAUCCUCUGCGCUAUAUACGGUAUUUAUAGCACAUGUAUUUUUAUUUUAUUUUAUUUUUCAACAGUCUUAAAUGUUGUUAUUCCUUUUUACAUUUAGAAACAUGUAACCAUGUUCUUCCUUAGCAGAAUAGCACAAAAGUUCAAUAAGCACUGAAAUGUGUUGCACUGAAACAUUUGCAAACCAUUAAAUAAUAUUAUUGUCCUGUACAUUUCCAUUUUCAUGUACUUGAUGCUAUCUAAUUUUUACACUGUUUUUUAAAUAUUUGAAAAAAAAAUUGAA
Maylandia zebra (zebra mbuna) is the source of this 747-nucleotide non-coding RNA. The record is from RefSeq and is a predicted model, not a curated record. Lineage: Eukaryota; Metazoa; Chordata; Actinopteri; Cichliformes; Cichlidae.